GGCCAGACUCCUACGGGAGGCAGCAGUGGGGAAUAUUGCACAAUGGGGGAAACCCUGAUGCAGCGACGCCGCGUGAGUGAAGAAGUAUUUCGGUAUGUAAAGCUCUAUCAGCAGGAAAGAAAAUGACGGUACCUGACUAAGAAGCCCCGGCUAACUACGUGCCAGCAGCCGCGGUAAUACGUAGGGGGCAAGCGUUAUCCGGAUUUACUGGGUGUAAAGGGAGCGUAGACGGUGAAGCAAGUCUGAAGUGAAAGGCGGGGGCUCAACCCCCGGACUGCUUUGGAAACUGUUUGACUGGAGUGCAGGAGAGGUAAGUGGAAUUCCUAGGGUAGCGGUGAAAUGCGUAGAUAUUAGGAGGAACACCAGUGGCGAAGGCGGCUUACUGGACUGUAACUGACGUUGAGGCUCGAAAGCGUGGGGAGCAAACAGGAUUAGAUACCCCAGUAAU
Molecule: ribosomal RNA, 448 nt
Filed under: uncultured bacterium
Lineage: Bacteria
Description: partial 16S ribosomal RNA
Rfam family: Bacterial small subunit ribosomal RNA
Source: RNAcentral